Molecule: long non-coding RNA, 9194 nt
Filed under: Eucalyptus grandis
Lineage: Eukaryota; Viridiplantae; Streptophyta; Magnoliopsida; Myrtales; Myrtaceae
Description: long non-coding RNA (EGRA_LNC005992)
Source: RNAcentral
UCAUUCAAAUGCGACGUCCCAGGAUAAGUCGCCGACCCAUUCAUUUAUUAAUGCGCAAGCGGAACGUAUUAUAAAACCCCUGACAAUGAAAUACGGGAUAGAAAAGCAGGAAACAAUUUCACAACCAAUCACUUACACAAACCAACGGAGUUACAGACGAAGGCCUACAGCCAGAGGUCUACAAAAGACCGACUCUUAAAAAUGAACUGUCCUACAACCUACAAGUCGGACACGCUCUCCAAUCCUUAUGACUUCACCUCUGCAAUUCCUCAAGGCGAACCAAAGCUAUCUGGCCGCUCCGUCCACCAGGGACCUGAAAUGGUUAUUCAAUAACCACUGAGACAACGUCUCAGCAAGUUCAACCCCCUAAACCCCUAUUAGAAAGAAAAUACGCCCAAUGGUGGCCUAACCACAUCACACAGAGAACUUACCUCGCCUCAAUUCCUUCCUGCAGGUUAGCACAAUUUGUAUCACACAAUCUCAGGUAGUAAUAAUAAUUCAAACAAUUGGAACACCAUCACUUUCAUAUAAAUCACGAUCGCACUUAGCACGCAUUCCAAUUAUUAUUCACUGCCACACAAGGGCAUAGCCUACUCGCAGGUCGGCUAUCUACUAACAUUACAGCAUUUCUAGAAGAAUAAAGGUCCAGUCGGUCCCGCCACUACUGCGACCAAGCCACGUCGUUUUAUCGACAGCAUUUCUAGAAAAAUAAAGGUCCAGUCGGUCCCGCCGCUACUACGACCAAGCCACGUCGUUCUAUCGACAGCAUUUCUAGAAAAAUAAAGGUCCAGUCAGUCUUGCCACUACUGCGACCAAGUCACGUCAUUCUAUCGACGGCAUUUCUAGAAAAAUAAAGGUCCAGUCAAUCUCGCCACUACUGCGACCAAGCCAUGUCGUUCUAUCGACAGCAUUUCUAGAAAAAUAAAGGUCCAGUCGGUCUUGCCACUAAUGCAACCAAGCCACGUCAUUCUAUCGACGGCAUUUCUAGAAAAAUAAAGGUCCAGUCGGUCUCGCUACUACUGCGACCAAGCCACGUCGUUCUAUUGAUAGCAUUUCUACAAAAAUAAAGGUCCAGUCGGUCUCGCCACUACUGCAACCAAGCCACGUCGUUCUAUCGACAGCAUUUCUAGAAAAAUAAAGGUCCAGUCGAUCCCGCCACUACUGCGACCAAGCCACGUCAUUCUCUUGACAGCAUUCUAAAAGAAUAAGAAUUCAUAUUUAUCACAAGUCAACUGCGACCCGAGCCUUUCAAUCACCAAAUUCAAAUUCUAAAUACACAGCAGCGAUCGGCACGAAAUUCUGAGAGUUUAGGGUCCCGACGAAAUUUUUGAAUUUUAAUAAAUAAUUAAAUUUAUUCCGAAAAUUAAGUAAAUAAUAAUAUUCAUAUUUUUCAUCAUCCACGCUCAAUUUAUAAUAUCCAACCAUCAUUUCAAAAUCCGAACACACAGCAGCGAUCGGCACGAAAUUUCGGGAAUUUAGGGUCCCGACAAAAUUUUCGGAAUUUAAUAAAUAAUUAAAUUUAUUCCGAAAAUAAUUAAAUAAUCAUAUUUUAAUAAUUUCGAAUAAUGAUAUAUUAUUAAAUUAUUAAAUAAUUUCGAAAUGUUUAAAUAAAUCAAAAGUAAAUUCAUUUAUGUCACAUCAAGGCUUAUAUUAAUAUAAACCUUCAUUUAGCCUUAAAUUAAACUCACUUUAAGCUAAUUAAACACAUUAAUAUAAUCCACACUUAAAUAAAUUAAACUAACCACCUAAUCACAAUUAACAUAAACUAAGCACACCUAAAGCAUAAUUAACCCUCUAAGCGAGAUUUAGUGAGUUAAACUCACCGGAUUAGCGAGCCGAGCGGAUCAAAACGACGGGGACGCCGAGGAGAACAACUUUCCUCAAAGCGGGCCGAGCAUCCGAGCUCGGGAAGGCAGCCAAAACGGGCCAAACGUCCGCUGCAUACCCAUUUUUUUUUCCAGCUGCUGUCCAUUGCGAUUUGAGGCCAAGGAAGGGUAGAUCCGGAGCUUGGAUGAGAUGGGGAAGGAUCGGGGAAGGUUGAGGGGUCGAACCGGACCAAGGAGGGACCCGAACGGUGGCCGGAGGUGGCCGAACGGCUCCGGCACGGGUUGAUACAGCAGCUGCGACGCAAGGGCAGGCGAGUGGGAGGUGGAGACGGUGCGACGGCGGGCCGGCGAGCACGCUCGGCGGUGCGGGACGGACGCACGGCGGCGGCGGUGACGACGACGUGCGAGCGGGUGGCCGGCCAUGGCUGCUCCUUCUUCUUCUCUGUAAAUUUUUCUGGUCCUUCGCACAAAGAAGAUGGAGGAGACGCACGGAAGAGAGAGGAAGAAGAGAGGGAGGAGAGAGAAGAAGGGGGGGCUUUUUUUCUUUUCUUUUUCUCUUUCUUUUAUUCAACAAAAAUGGCCCACCAUGACCUAGGAUGACAUCACACUCCACUAACUCUCACAACCUCUUCCAAUGGGUGCAAUUCUAUUUUCCGCCAGGGCCUAAAACUUGUGCAACAAUAUCUUCAAUUCCACUUAAUUCUCUUCUAAUUAAAUCUUAAUCCCACUUGAAUUAAAUCAAAUUGACCCCAAUUAAUUCAUUCAACAUCUCAUCAAUCAAAUUGGUAUUUUUCCUUACCACUGUGGCGUACUUGCAUCCCAAUUUCACAAUCUCUGGCUUCAAUCGAACAAAGACGACCCUAUUUAUCCAGUCGAAAUUAAAACCCGAAAAUCCGGAUGUCACAACUCUUCCCCUCUUAUAAAAAUUUCGUCCUCGAAAUUUAAACCUUUACUAAUUCUUAACAAGGAGGUGAGGGUACAGUCGUCUCAUGUCCUCUUCUCUUUCUCAGGUUGCUUUUUUCUGCACUAAUGUUGCCAGAUCACUACUAUCUUGCCCAAACCACUUCAGAUCCAAAAUACUAAACACUUGCCCACUUAAAAUUCUAAAGGUCUUCAACACAAAAUCUGCAAAGCUAAACUGACGAUUCUGAGCGGUCUCAAGAUUGUCCCUGCUAACUGCGAUUGAAUCACUGAUUUCUGAACCAACUUUAGACCUGCGAUUUUCUGAUCUCUGAUCUCAUCUCAACAACUGAAGUUCUGAACACUCUGCUUUGCACUGAUUAAAAGAAACUAUCUGACUAAUCUGCUGAAACUGGGAACCUCUGGUCAAGAUCUGAUAUAACUCUGGCACUGAUCUUAGCAACUGCAAUCACUGACUACUAUACAGACCUUGGCAUGUGAUCUUUCUUUCCUUGACUACAUCUCUGCAAUUGAAAUUCUACACUUUCUGCUAUGCAUUGAUUAAGGAAGAACCUUCUGAAAAUUCUACCAAACUUAUAAUCUAUGAUAUGGAUCCGAAAUAUAAUUCAUCCCCGGCACUCCAUGUUGGUGAAUUAUCUAAUGCUCGCACACUUCAGUAUAUCCACUUUGUGACAAGACAGAAUCCUCAAUUUCUGAAAUCAAAUUUAGAUUGGCGGUUAAUUUCACUCCGACACGCUUUUAGUGUGACCUAGGCUAUUAGGUAGUGUUCAGAGCUUUUUAGGACAAAUGACUUGUGGUCGAUUUUCUUCGAACCACGAUGAACCCACUCGACACAUUGGCGACUCUCAAUUGUCGUGAAAAUCUCAAAGAUUCAAAUACGGACACAGGGUACCAAACCGACAGUAAAGUCAAAUUAGUGCCAGUCGACGAGAGUUUUCCAAUUUAGUGGGGUCACCCACGAUCGGUCAUUCAUCUCAGUUGAACCGACCUAUCUCUGACCUUAAUUAGAUUUUUAACUGUGCCGUAAUGAUCUCUAAAGAUGAGCACGGUUAAGAAGUCGAUUCCUGGUCGAAUUCUCAAGUCUAUUUGCCUUAAAGUCCUUAAUAACUCACCCAACUAGUCUAGUUAUCUCGUAAGUGGCCAACUCAGAGAAAAACACUGUAAUCACGUCGAUGAAAUGCCCAAUUUAACCAAUCGAAAUCAGAGUUUGAAAAUUAGGAUGUCACACGCUCAAAACAAGAUUUAUUCAUACUGUACCAAAGUGGACCAACUCCAUCUAUCGAUCGACUACUAUCCUCAAAUGGUAUCAGUAAUCUCCUGAAUCCUUAGUAAGCUCGUCACAAUGUUCCAUUGUGAUAUAUUUUCAUUCUCACUUAGGACUCUCAAGUGAUGGUAAAAGUCAUCCUGGUUUACAUCACUGAACUUCCACUUACUGACAUCGCUGCUACUUGCAACUUGUUCAACGAUAUCUAUCUUCAUACCGAUCUACCAAUCUCGAUGAUGUAGAUUCUGACUCAUCUUCGUACUGUCUGGACAAUGCUGAAGUUACUAUGAUGAGCUUCCCAUAAGAUUUCUUCUUUAAUCUCUGUAUCGUCACUUACACACAAUCGUCCUCAGAACCUUAGCAUCCUAUCCUUAGAAAUUUGAAAAUCAACAUCUCUCUCAUCUGCAUUCUCUUAUAGAAUCUUUUGAAUUUCUGAAUAUGUCCAUUGAAGCAUCUUGAUUCUGAUCUAACUCUCGGCUCAAUUUUGAGAGUGGUCAUAAGAUUCAAAAUGUGGCAUUCCUUAGAUUUGAAAACCGAAUUUCGGACUUCCUCAAGUAAGAUCCAAUCCUUGAGUGCCAACUGUACAAUUAAGGAUUCUCGACUCAGUGCAUCCGUGACUUUGCUCACCUUUCUAGAGUGAUAUAAAAUAUUCUAGUCAUAAUCAUUAAUGAGUUCCGUCCAGCGACGCUGUCUCAUAUUCAACUCCCGAGGUCUCAACUGACGAGACACAUACGCAACACGAGUCAUCCAAAACUCGCAUCUGCUAAGCUUAUUGUAAAAUCCAAGAGUACUCAAGGUCUGAAGUACCAUCCUCAAAUGUCUCUUGUGCCCCUCAGCACUCUUCGAACACACCAGGAUAACUUCAAUGAACACGAUCACAACUGAUUCAAGUACCCUUAAACAUUCCGCUCAUUAGACCCAAACAAACAGCUAAGUUGUCCAUCAAACCACACGGUAUUACAGUGAACUCACAACUGCUGUAUCAAGUGCGAGAUGCUAACUUCGGUAUGUCUUUCUUCCUAAUCCUCAAUUGAUGAUACUCUCACCUCAAGUUGAUCUUGGAGAAUAUCGACAUACAAAUACAACGAAUCAACUUUAUUCUUCACGAAUAGGACAGGUGCUCCCCAAGGUGAUACACUGGAACGUGUGAAUCCCCUAUUCAACAAUUCCUGCAUCUGCACCUUCAGUUCCUUUAACUCAGGUAACACCAUCCGGUAAGGAGCCUUAAGGACUGGCUCUGCUCCGGAUGCUAAUUUAAUCACGAACUCUAUUUCUCUUUCUGAUAGCAAACUUAACAAUUCUUUAGAAAAUACCUUAGAAAACUUAUGUACCACAAUUAUAUUCUCCAUAUUCGGCUCCUCAACUGACGCAUCCAUUACAGCUGCCAUGUAGAUUCGAUAACCAACAACCUGAACCAAGUCAUCUUCAGUGACGAAUAACAAGGAUUGAAGUUCCUCUUCAACUUUCAAUAAUUCAAAACUUUCAUACGCUAACUGGACAAACUGAAUUACAACACUGCCACGAUUCACAACAGCAGAAAGCUCCUCGAGCCAAACCUUUUCAUAAAUGACUUCCGAGUCAUACAUAAACAAACCCAUCAGGUACAACUAUAGUCAGAGACUCAUUUUCAGGUUACUUUAUUACCACAACGAAAACCCUACAACCUUCACUGAAAAUUCUGCUACAUUACUCUGCAUAAAACAUCUCAUAAACAUUAUUCUUCUGAUUGAUGCAUGGUCGAUCCAUUCAUGCUUCUCUAGCCAUCCUAGUGGCGUCCUCUAUGCAGUAACAGUGCUUACGCUCUCCUGAACUUACACGGACAGUUCCUAACUCGAUGGCCGUGUUGGCCAUAUUCAAAUCAUGCUCCCUUCUUACUCUGACACUAGGCUAACUCAUGCCUCCUUUCCACAAACUCGGCAUACAAUCGGUGAGUCCUUUACCUCCCAUCAAGGAACAUCAUGCACCCUUCCUUGCAUUGAGAUCCGUUCCAAGUACCCUAUUGAACAUCCUAAAGCAUGUUUCCUCUUUUCUAUCUUAUCAACGACAGUGAUAGAAACAUCUGUGACUCCAUCUGCCUAUACGGGAAAUCUUUGAUUAAAUGACCUUAUAGGAAACACCUGUAACAAGUCAUUUCUCUCUUACAGCAUAUAACAAAUCCCCGUCUUUUCUUACAGAUACAACACACAUCGAUCGAGCUAAGUACUGACUUUCAAAUUUUACUCUUCUGGUUGAGUGAAGCAGGGCACUUUUCUUCUGAUAUCAGCAUUUCCUCCAAUCGAUUUCCGUCUCUGUCUAAAUUGAACCUUGACUCAGAUACAGAGUCUUGAUCCUUGAUCACAACUCCAGAUUGGGCCUCAACAGGCACAACAAUUAAACGGUCACAACACUGGCAGCGGUUAAAACAACGGCAACAGCAACGGCUCGGUCCUGAACUUACUUACCCAACAAGCUUCCAAGGAACACUAGCGCCUGAACGAUCCCAACAAACCUAAGAUCCUUCGAUGCUGCUACACUCUAAGUACCGACUUGCAGUGGUACUCUCACACUCGCGCUGGUCUAAGCCUGCGCUCUACCUCGGGUACCGACUCUUGCCAGCAUCCUACCCCGAGGUAUAGGUCCUACCGACCUUCACCAAGGAGUCCUCCACUCCUGGUCACACAUCCUACAGGCUCUUUAUAGACACCUGUUUUCCGAUUCCAACAUCAUAUUAAAAUUUGAGUGACCCCACAAACACACUACCAAACAGCUAUCAACCACAUGCAUCAGCAUAUUAAAAUCUUUUCCCACUAACUAUCCCAUGACUCAUCGCACCUUAUCACUCUAUACACAGACCAUGCUCUGAUACCACUUAAACGGGGAUGUCACGCCCCGAACCUCGAGCGUGUCAACAUCCCACCAUGGUCAUUCAAAUGCGACGUCCCAGGAUAAGUCGCCGACCCAUUCAUUUAUUAAUGCGCAAGCGGAACGUAUUAUAAAACCCCUGACAAUGAAAUACGGGAUAGAAAAGCAGGAAACAAUUUCACAACCAAUCACUUACACAAACCAACGGAGUUACAGACGAAGGCCUACAGCUAGAGGUCUACAAAAGACCGACUCUUAAAAAUGAACUGUCCUACGACCUACAAGUCGGACACGCUCUCCAAUCCUUAUGACUUCACCUCUGCAAUUCCUCAAGGCGAACCAAAGCUAUCUGGCCGCUCCGUCUACCAGGGACCUGAAAUGGUUAUUCAAUAACCACUGAGACAACGUCUUAGCAAGUUCAACCCCCUAAACCCCUAUUAGAAAGAAAAUACGCCCAAUGGUGGCCUAACCACAUCACACAGAGAACUUACCUCGCCUCAAUUCCUUCCUGCAGGUUAGCACAAUUUGUAUCACACAAUCUCAGGUAGUAAUAAUAAUUCAAACAAUUGGAACACCAUCACUUUCAUAUAAAUCACGAUCGCACUUAGCACGCAUUCCAAUUAUUAUUCACUGCCACACAAGGGCAUAGCCUACUCACAGGUCGGCUAUCUACUAACAUUACGGCAUUUCUAGAAGAAUAAAGGUCCAGUCGGUCCCGCCACUACUGCGACCAAGCCACGUCGUUCUAUUGACAGCAUUUCUAGAAAAAUAAAGGUCCAGUCGGUCCCGCCGCUACUAUGACCAAGCCACGUCGUUCUAUCGACAGCAUUUCUAGAAAAAUAAAGGUCCAGUCAGUAUUGCCACUACUGCGACCAAGCCACGUCAUUCUAUCGACGGCAUUUCUAGAAAAAUAAAGGUCCAGUCGAUCUCGCCACUACUGCGACCAAGCCACGUCGUUCUAUCGACAGCAUUUCUAGAAAAAUAAAGGUCCAGUCGGUCUUGCCACUAAUGCAACCAAGCCACGUCAUUCUAUCGACGGCAUUUCUAGAAAAAUAAAGGUCCAGUCGGUCUCGCCACUACUGCGACCAAGCCACAUCGUUCUAUCGACAGCAUUUCUACAAAAAUAAAGGUCCAGUCGAUCUCGCCACUACUGCGACCAAGCCACGUCGUUCUAUCGACAGCAUUUCUAGAAAAAUAAAGGUCCAGUCGAUCCCGCCACUACUGCGACCAAGCCACGUCAUUCUCUUGACGGCAUUCUAAAAGAAUAAGGAUCCAGUCGGCGUAGCCACUACUGCGACCCGAGCCUUUCAACUAGCACACGACAAUUCGAUACCAAUCCUUGGAUACUUUACAUUUCACUCACAUAAUCCAAUUAUGAUAUUAGCCAUUAACAAUCCAAUUUCAAUGCCGAACUCGACACUUGGGAUUUUAUGAACAAAAUUCAUAUCCAGUCGGCGUAGCCACUACUGCGACCCGAGCCUUUCAACUAGCACACGACAAUUCGAUACCAAUCCUUGGAUACUUUACAUUUCACUCACAUAAUCCAAUUAUGAUAUUAGCCAUUAACAAUCCAAUUUCAAUGCCGAACUCGACACUUGGGAUUUUAUGAACAAAAUUCAUAUUUAUCACAAUCAAUACUCAAUUUGCCACAAUCAAUCAUCAAAUUCAAAUUCUAAAUACACAGCAGCGAUUGGCACGAAAUUCUGAGAGUUUAGGGUCCCGACGAAAUUUUUGAAUUUUAAUAAAUAAUUAAAUUUAUUCCGAAAAUAAUUAAAUAAUCAUAUUUUAAUCAUUUCGAAUAAUGAUAUAUUAUUAAAUUAUUAAAUAAUUUCGAAAUGUUUAAAUAAAUCAAAAGUAAAUUCAUUUAUGUCACAUCAAGGCUUAUAUUAAUAUAAACCUUCAUUUAGCCUUAAAUUAAACUCACUUUAAGCUAAUUAAACACAUUAAUAUAAUCCACACUUAAAUAAAUUAAACUAACCACCUAAUCACAAUUAACAUAAACUAAGCACACCUAAAGCAUAAUUAACCCUCUAAGCGAGAUUUAGUGAGUUAAACUCACCGGAUUAGCGAGCCGAGCGGACCAAAACGACGGGGACGCCGAGGAGAACAACUUUCCUCAAAGCGGGCUGAGCAUCCGAGCUCGGGAAGGCAGCCAAAACGGGCCAAACGUCCGCUGCAUACCCAUUUUUUUUCCAGCUGCUGUCCAUUGCGAUUUGAGGCCGAGGAAGGGUAGAUCCGGAGCUUGGAUGAGAUGGGGAAGGAUCGGGGAAGGUUGAGGGGUCGAACCGGCCCAAGGAGGGACCCGAACGGUGGCCGGAGGUGGCCGAACGGCUCCGGCACGG